UAUUUUUCUGAAACCAAAAACAAGCGAAGCUUAACCUGGUGGUGUAUUAUAAGCUUGGUGGGCCGCCAGGCUUAUAAUACACUGGCAGGAAACCCUGUGAUGUAAGUCCAUCUGUACCAGUGAAUUUAUUUGAUUUAAGAAUCUUAAUAGCUUCUUUAAUUUCGUCAUGUGGGAUUGGAGAGUCACAUAAUACUUUGUUUUGGUCACCAAUUGUUUCAGGAGAAUGUCUAGACUCAUACAAUGAUUUGUAAAGAGUUUCACAUAUGUUUGCAAUUAUUUUGGGGUCAUCAUAAUUGUGUCAUUUGAAUUUGCUUAGUGAUAUAAUUUUUUGUUUCUUUGCUUUUCACAUUUGAAGAAGUAGCUUGAAUUUUCUUCCCCCUUUUUUAAUCCUUUGGCCAGUGAAUGUAUAAGAGUCCCUUUCGCUUUUUUAAUAUAAAGUUGAUGAAGUUAAACAUUAACUUGAUCAGCUUCAGCUUUCAAGUUAUAGCUGAAGGGUUUGUAACUUGGCUCUCUUUAAGUUAAGGGCGUGUGAGUAAAUGUAAGUGUGCAUAAAUGCUUGUUUGCAAUGUUAAGAUGCGCCUCUCCUGUGUGUCCAAUAAGAGAAAAUUUAAUCAAAUAUAUGAACAUAUAAUAACUUAGAUUAAUGGAUAUAAUUCUUAAACCUGACCUCAAGUUUGUGAUUGGGGUGGAUCAUAACAAAACACACAUUUACACUGGUUUUGGAAUGGAUAAAGCAGGUUAAAUUGAAAAUUCUGGAAUUGCUCUUAUCCAAGUCAUGUUAAAAAUCUAUGGACUAUGCUUAAAAGCCCAUAUUUUACAUGAAAAGUUUAGGAGUGGUCAACUACCAAGCCAAGGUUAUGGCAGAAGCUAGAUGUUUGUUUGCAAUUUGCUAAUGACCAUUUCAUCAAAUAUUAGUGGGGGUGUUUGUUUAUAAAUGUGCCUAUUUGGAUUAUAAGAAACCCACAAAAAUUUCAAGCAAGUUGAACAUAGCUCCUUUCUAUAAAAUUAAUUAAAAUUUGUAGUAUUAUAAUCAUUCCACUGGGGAAAAAAUCAUGAAACGUCCUAAAUUAAUAUGACAUGCAGAUUAUGUAAAUAGUAAUACAUCUUAUUUAUAUAGCGCGUUUCAGUUCUCAAAACUCUUGAAACAACAUAAGAUAUACAUGAACAUAUUUGGCUUAAGUAAGACAGCAGGUCAACAUUGCAAAGACAAUACUGUUCUUUAUAACCAGAUGUUUUUGCCUUUGCUGUUACUUUUCUUUGUCCCUUUUUACCCCAGGAGGACUAGUUGAUGAAGUAACUGGAUCAAUCUACAAGACUGUAGCUGACGUCUUUGAUGAUGAUAACUGAGGCCAACCAUAUGUUGCCACCAUGUGGCCCAACUAAUACAUUUCACCUUCAUUUUCUUUUUUUUGAGUACCCUAUACAUUUGAUUAAUAAUGACUGAACAAAAACUGAAAAAUAAGCAAUAAUAUGUGUGUUUACUAUUGUUACUUGUCAAUCCGUACUUUUAAAAUGUUACUUUUAAUUUGCUCUGAAUUAUAUCUAAUAAAAAGCUAAAAUAUAUGCUUAGAGAUCAAUGUAUUGGAUAUAAAAUGCUAAAAAGUGAGAAUAUGGUUCCUUGCAUAUCUAGCCCUAACCUAUGAAUUCAGUUUGUCAAAUUACACCCACAAAUUUGAAUCUAUUUAAGUGGAAUUUUACAUGAUGGACCAACACUAAGAGCCACACAAUAUUGAAAUGGAAGGAAAGGUUUGGUUUUCCAAACUUUGUACAAAUAAUAAUACAUUUUCACUACAGUUUGAGACAGUACAUGAUACACUGUUCUAUCAAAAUAAAUGAUAAUCUUAUCCUGCAUAUUGUACUUUUAGCUAACAAUUUUAAUCUUUACCAUGACAUUUCUGAUCUAAACCUUCCAUAUCCUAAAAUCUGCAGUAUAACUGAAACCUUGUUUAGGUCCCCAAAAGGCUAAUGCAUCGAAGAAAAAAAAAACUUCUUUCCUUACCAAUGUACACAUGUGUAUAUAUAUAUCCUUUUUGGAUAGGGUUAGGGUUGGCUAGCUGCUUCAAUCAUUUCUGCAACUUAAGCUUGACCCUUAAAUUUAUUAUUACAUGAUUGCCGUUUGCACUUCACCUUAUUAGAUUAUUAGAUAAACCAGAAAUUGUGCAGACAAAGCAACAAACAUGUUUAGACUGUACUGUAUGUUUAGACUGUAUGUUUAAACUGUGUGUUUAAACAUACAGUUUAUAUUAACUUAUUAUACAGGUUUUGUAAUUGCCAUGUCAAUCUGUGAAACAAUAUAACAAUAUUUGUUUGUGUACAUUGCCUGCAGGACCCAGAGUAACCCAAGGAUAGAGAAUUAUUCUAAAUAAAUUCAAUAUUUGUUACUACACCUGA
Long non-coding RNA from Xiphophorus maculatus (southern platyfish), 2391 nucleotides. RefSeq lists it as uncharacterized. The record is from RefSeq and is a predicted model, not a curated record. Lineage: Eukaryota; Metazoa; Chordata; Actinopteri; Cyprinodontiformes; Poeciliidae. The transcript is spliced from 2 exons.